This 286-nucleotide unclassified non-coding RNA is filed under the name plant metagenome. Its description in RNAcentral is "partial contains small subunit ribosomal RNA and internal transcribed spacer 1". The stretch from base 1 to 46 matches the Rfam family "Eukaryotic small subunit ribosomal RNA", at positions 1786 to 1831 of the family's 1831-position model. The record is from RNAcentral.
AAGUCGUAACAAGGUUUCCGUAGGUGAACCUGCGGAAGGAUCAUUACAAAUAAAGCUGGCUUAGGGAAGUCCGGGUCCCUUGUAUCCUGUAAGUCGGUUAGAUGCGCAACAGUCCGGACUGGCCCUCCCCGAAAUGGUCUUUAACCAUGUCCCCCACAGCCUGAAGGCCGAAUUACAACCCUUGAUUAUCUAACUACUUGUUGCUUUGGGGUGCUCAAGUGCCCCCAGAGGACCCAACUCUCUUGCAAUUUUAGUGACGAUCUGAGUACUUAUAUAAUUUUAAAAA